Molecule: transfer RNA, 72 nt
Filed under: Saprospiraceae bacterium
Lineage: Bacteria; Pseudomonadati; Bacteroidota; Saprospiria; Saprospirales; Saprospiraceae
Description: tRNA-Arg
Rfam family: tRNA
About the family: Transfer RNA (tRNA) molecules are approximately 80 nucleotides in length.
Source: RNAcentral
GGUCCCGUAGUUCAACGGAUAGAAUGGAGGUUUCCUAAACCUUUGAUAUGGGUUCGAUUCCCGUCGGGACUA